Molecule: ribosomal RNA, 459 nt
Filed under: uncultured bacterium
Lineage: Bacteria
Description: partial 16S ribosomal RNA
Rfam family: Bacterial small subunit ribosomal RNA
Source: RNAcentral
CCUACGGGGGGCAGCAGUGAGGAAUAUUGGUCAAUGGACGAGAGUCUGAACCAGCCAAGUAGCGUGAAGGAUGACUGCCCUAUGGGUUGUAAACUUCUUUUAUAUGGGAAUAAAAUGUUCCACGUGUGGGAUUUUGUAUGUACCAUAUGAAUAAGGAUCGGCUAACUCCAUGCCAGCAGCCGCGGUAAUACGGAGGAUCCGAGCGUUAUCCGGAUUUAUUGGGUUUAAAGGGAGCGUAGGUGGAUUGUUAAGUCAGUUGUGAAAGUUUGCGGCUCAACCGUAAAAUUGCAGUUGAAACUGGCAGUCUUGAGUACAGUAGAGGUGGGCGGAAGUCGUGGUGUAGCGGUGAAAUGCUUAGAUAUCACGAAGAACUCCGAUUGCGAAGGCAGUUCACUGGACUGCAACUGACACUGAGGCUCGAAAGUGUGGGUAUCAAACAGGAUUAGAUACCCUGUAGUC